This 75-nucleotide transfer RNA is filed under the name Vibrio cholerae. RNAcentral describes it as "tRNA-Arg". It matches the Rfam family "tRNA". From Rfam's summary of the family: Transfer RNA (tRNA) molecules are approximately 80 nucleotides in length. Their secondary structure includes four short double-helical elements and three loops (D, anti-codon, and T loops). The record is from RNAcentral. RNAcentral also lists the same sequence under 1 other name. Lineage: Bacteria; Pseudomonadati; Pseudomonadota; Gammaproteobacteria; Vibrionales; Vibrionaceae.
GUCCGUAGCUCAGCUGGAUAGAGUACCUGGCUACGAACCAGGCGGUCAGAGGUUCGAAUCCUCUCGGACGCGCCA